This 73-nucleotide transfer RNA is filed under the name Terrestrivirus sp. RNAcentral's name for it is "tRNA-His". Lineage: Varidnaviria; Bamfordvirae; Nucleocytoviricota; Megaviricetes; Imitervirales; Mimiviridae. The record is from RNAcentral.
UACCCACUACCCGGCUUGAACGGGUUCACCCAGCUCCACAGGCUGGUAUGCUUUCCAAUUACAUCAAAUGGGC